GCGUGCGUAGCUCAAUUGGAUAGAGCAGUAGUUUCCGGAACUAAAGGUUGCAGGUUCGAGUCCUGCCGUGCGUACCA
RNAcentral lists this transfer RNA (77 nucleotides) under Pedosphaera sp. RNAcentral's name for it is "tRNA-Arg". It matches the Rfam family "tRNA". Rfam says of the family: Transfer RNA (tRNA) molecules are approximately 80 nucleotides in length. The record is from RNAcentral. Lineage: Bacteria; Pseudomonadati; Verrucomicrobiota; Pedosphaerae; Pedosphaerales; Pedosphaeraceae.